AACGCACCUUGCGCCUCUUGGUAUUCCGAGAGGCAUGCCUGUUUGAGUGUCAUUAAAUUCUCAACCUCAACUUUGUUGAUGAGGCUUGGAUGUGGAGGUUUUUGCUGGCACCCUUGUAUGGAGUCGGCUCCUCUAAAAUAUAUUAGUGGAAACUGUUUUUGUAGGUUUACAUUAGUAUGAUAAUUAUCGGUGCUAUUGUAGCUACAAGCUUGAUGUGGGGUUCGUUUGGAGAAGUGCAUGCAUAUAUAAUGAAUGCUCUCUCUGUUUUUGUUUGACCUCCCAUAGCAAGUAUAAUAUAGGAUCUGCUUCAAACUGUCCUGAGUUACUGGACAAUAUUUGAUUAUUUUGACCUCAAAUCAGGUAGGACUACCCGCUGAACUUAA
This 383-nucleotide unclassified non-coding RNA is filed under the name uncultured Agaricales. RNAcentral describes it as "sequence contains 5.8S rRNA gene, ITS2, 28S rRNA gene". The stretch from base 1 to 52 matches the Rfam family "5.8S ribosomal RNA", at positions 103 to 154 of the family's 154-position model. The record is from RNAcentral. Lineage: Eukaryota; Fungi; Basidiomycota; Agaricomycetes; Agaricales.